UACAACCUGGGGUGUGCGACAAUCCUAUUAUUUUGAACCUACAUUUACUUUUAUGGGAUUCUUAUAUCGCUGCCAAUGAUGCCAGGCCUCCGUUGCAGUGGAAGGCAGAGCGGGCAGCUGCGGUUACCCACCUAGCUUUGCUAGGAGUCAAAAGAUAGGAAACGGCACUUUGGGGAUAU
Molecule: non-coding RNA, 179 nt
Filed under: Candidatus Merdiplasma excrementigallinarum
Lineage: Bacteria; Bacillati; Bacillota; Clostridia; Lachnospirales; Lachnospiraceae
Description: 6S RNA
Rfam family: 6S / SsrS RNA
About the family: E. coli 6S RNA was the first non coding RNA to be sequenced, but its function was unknown until recently.
Source: RNAcentral